RNAcentral lists this ribosomal RNA (452 nucleotides) under uncultured bacterium. Its description in RNAcentral is "bacterial SSU rRNA". It matches the Rfam family "Bacterial small subunit ribosomal RNA", at positions 28 to 477 of the family's 1533-position model. The record is from RNAcentral.
GACGAACGCUGGCGGCGUGCCUAACACAUGCAAGUCGAACGGAACUGUUUUGAAAGAUUUCUUCGGAAUGAAUUUGAUUUAGUUUAGUGGCGGACGGGUGAGUAACGCGUGAGUAACCUGCCUUCAAGAGGGGGAUAACAUUCUGAAAAGAAUGCUAAUACCGCAUGAUAUAUCGGAACCACAUGGUUUUGAUAUCAAAGAUUUUAUCGCUUGAAGAUGGACUCGCGUCCGAUUAGUUAGUUGGUGAGGUAACGGCUCACCAAGACCGCGAUCGGUAGCCGGACUGAGAGGUUGAACGGCCACAUUGGGACUGAGACACGGCCCAGACUCCUACGGGAGGCAGCAGUGGGGGAUAUUGCGCAAUGGGGGCAACCCUGACGCAGCAACGCCGCGUGAAGGAUGAAGGUUUUCGGAUUGUAAACUUCUUUUAUUAAGGACGAAAAAUGACGGUA